GCGGGUGUAAUUCAGUGGUAGAAUGGAAGCUUCCCAAGCUUCAUAUGUGGGUUCGAUUCCCAUCACCCGCUC
This 72-nucleotide transfer RNA is filed under the name bacterium ADurb.Bin270. RNAcentral's name for it is "tRNA-Gly". It matches the Rfam family "tRNA". From Rfam's summary of the family: Transfer RNA (tRNA) molecules are approximately 80 nucleotides in length. Their secondary structure includes four short double-helical elements and three loops (D, anti-codon, and T loops). The record is from RNAcentral.